Molecule: long non-coding RNA, 649 nt
Filed under: Volvox carteri
Lineage: Eukaryota; Viridiplantae; Chlorophyta; Chlorophyceae; Chlamydomonadales; Volvocaceae
Description: long non-coding RNA (VCAR_LNC002761)
Source: RNAcentral
GAGACUAGGGCGGAAGGAAACAAAAGUUGGCAAUGCUUAUUGCGCGUGCCCUCCUGUUGAAACGGUAGAACCCGGGACAUAAGGAGCUAUCAACAAGGGCUCAGCAGAAAAGCAGCCGGCUACUGUGUAUAUGAAGGACAAGGUACCACUAGCUCAUAGCGUGCGGUAAGCCCUUCAAAGGUUUGGCGCCCUUUUCGCCCGUCCCGCAAUAAAUAGCCGCGUCAAUACUUUACCUCUCUGCGAUCCUCCCAUAAAACCUACACCUCCAGCAUGACGUCAUCUUUCACGUCGUUUUCCUCCUCUCCUCUUGCGCACCUCGUCUUCCUGGGCAAACCCGGCAACCACACACAGCUUUUCUCCCCAAUCUACGGUGUUGUCCAUCCCUCUUCACUCUCCUCUUUCAGGCUUCUCAAUGUGAACAUUGUGGCUGGCUUCGUCAAAGAGACUAUAACCCCGUGACCCAGUCCUUAAGCGGCCUAAGGCAUGGGCAACGCAUUCUCAGGCAGCAGUGGCAGGUCCUCAGGCAGCAAUGGCGAGUCAUUAGGCAGCAUUGGCAAGUCCUCAGGCAGCAAUGGCGAGUCAUUAGGCAGCAUUGGCAAGUCCUCAGGCAGCAAUGGCGAGUCAUUAGGCAGCAUUGGCAAGUCCUCAG